This 333-nucleotide ribosomal RNA is filed under the name uncultured Smithella sp. Its description in RNAcentral is "bacterial SSU rRNA". It matches the Rfam family "Bacterial small subunit ribosomal RNA", at positions 1047 to 1382 of the family's 1533-position model. Lineage: Bacteria; Pseudomonadati; Thermodesulfobacteriota; Syntrophia; Syntrophales; Smithellaceae. The record is from RNAcentral.
GGCUGUCGUCAGCUCGUGUCGUGAGAUGUUGGGUUAAGUCCCGCAACGAGCGCAACCCUUAUCUUUAAUUGCCAGCAUUCAGUUGGGCACUUUAAAGAGACUGCCGGUGUUAAACCGGAGGAAGGUGGGAUGACGUCAAGUCCUCAUGGCCUUUAUGCUUAGGGCUACACACGUGCUACAAUGGGUGGUACAAAGAGAAGCCAACUCGCGAGAGCGCGCCAAUCUCAAAAAGCCAUCCUCAGUUCGGAUUGGAGUCUGCAACUCGACUCCAUGAAGUUGGAAUCGCUAGUAGUCGCGGAUCAGCAUGCCGCGGUGAAUACGUUCCCGGGCCUU